CAGUACUGUGAGAAAACGUCAGUGCCGAGGAGGUCUGGGUGCUAAAACAAACUCUGGAGCUGCUUUUUUGUCGAACACCAGUGCGAAGGUUUACUCUUUCAGCUGCUGCAGCCUGGACAGAAACACCAGCUCUCACCUUACAAACCAAAUAGGUGUCACCACUUCGUCCAUGAUCACAGAGUCUUCAUACAAUGAAGAAGUUCUUUGAAACCAGGACAGAGGCCUCCAGGAUUCAAACUUUAACCAUUAAAUCACAAAGAGGAGACACAGACGUGAAGACAUUUCCAGAAGGUCCUCAGCUGAUGUUGUCUUCUCCUCCUGCAGAGACAAGAACAUGUGUUAAUCACAGAAACUGAUCAGUUAAUCUAUUUUUCCUUUCCUAAACUGACCUUAUUCAUUGUUGACAUCUAAUUACAGUGAUGUAAAAUAAACUUACAGUAACUUGUUCAGUAUCACAUAUUUUAAUGUGUUUUUCUAAUUAUUACAGUCACAGUAAUGACUAGAAAUAGUUCUGAAACUCUAAACAUGUACCAUGUAAUAAAUAUAGGAAAACAAUUUAAACUACUGUUAAUAAAAUGAAAUUUAUUUAUAAAUUAUUUAGCUAGGUUAACAAGUUAUUUUACUAAAAUUAUUUUCACUUUGCCUUUUUUGCAAUAUAUGCUAUUGUAUUUUUUAACAACAUAAUAUUCUGUGGCAUCAUUUAAUAACAGAAUGCACUGACAUUUUCAUUCACAUUUUUUGAUGCUUUACUAUACUAUGACAUUCAACUUAAGACAAAGGAACUUUGUUUUCCACAGACAAACACAUUCACACACACACCUCUACACACUGUUUCAAACAGUGCAAUGUCAGUGCUCAAAUCCAGUCUAUUACUGUGUACAUAGUCCUGUUUAUACUAUCCAUAUUGUUUGUAAUUUUUAUAUAGAAUAUAUUUAUGUGUAUAUUGUUUUUCUUCUCUUGUAUAUAUAAUGCUAUUUUUGUUGUUGCAACACAGAAUUUCCCCAUUGUGGGACUAAU
Molecule: long non-coding RNA, 1017 nt
Organism: Lates calcarifer (barramundi perch)
Lineage: Eukaryota; Metazoa; Chordata; Actinopteri; Centropomidae
Exons: 5
Source: RefSeq, a predicted model, not a curated record